AUCGAACCCUACUUGAUAUAACCUUAGCUUAUCUAACCCUAGUUGAUCGAACCCUACUCCAUCUAACCCUAUUUUAUUUUCACCCAUUUUAACCAUUUGUGGCAGAAAAAAACGUACGCAUGAAAUCAGAUGUAAAUAGUGACUACCCAAAAGUUUUUAACAAAAACAAGAAUGACAUACUUGGUACAGUGGAUAUAUUAGCUACACCCCGGAAUGGUGUACUUGUCAAUGAGAACGAGUUAUUUGUAUCAUGUUUUGUUAACAACGUUUUAUAUGCAAAAAGUGAUUUUGUUUAUAAUCGUACAGAUUUCAAAUUACCAACACUCAACAUAUUAGAUGCAGAAAAAAAAAACAUAUUACAACUUCUAGAUUUAGAUGAACGGAUUUUUAAAACCCCAGAAAACAUUUUUUUUUCCAUCAAAAGAUUUCAGUUUAUUUCUGAAAAUGUUUAAAAAAAAUAAUUCAGAUUUAGUAUAUGGUUUGGACGUGGAAAACGUGUCGAAGAUGCUAAUAAAUAAAUAUACGACUUAUAUGAACGAAAAUGUUUUAAACAAAAAAGUAGAAUUUACAAGUGACAUAAAAAAUACAUUGGACAAUGGAUAUAACCACUUCAUGGAGCAACGUGAUAACUGGUACAACUGCAGAGAACUAAUUGAAGAUAUAGAAACGAAUAGAAAACAAUCUAAAAAGAUAGAAGAGUUUGUUUUAGGAGUUUGUGCAUGUACUAAAACGAUCAUUUAUAAUGAGAAAUAUUCGAAUAACUCAAUAAAAGAAUAUAAAGAGAAAAGUUUUAAAAAAGAUAAUAAGCAAAACGUGUAUCAUGAGGAAUUUAACAUCGAUUGUGAUAUGGAAAAAGAUUUUUACGAUACAUGUAUAAAUUAUAUUGAAUAUGAAGAUAUAUGUUUAUAUAACACUAUACGAACAAUAGGAUACUCAAUGUAUUGUUAUAAAAACAAUAUAUUUUUUUAUAAUUUAAAAAAAAAAGCUAAAAAAUAUUAUUUGAUUGGUUUUCAUGACUUUUUAAGUAGUAAUAAAUUUAUUAUGUGUAUAUUAAAAAAAAAAAAAAAAAUCAAAAGAUGAUGGUGGUAUAUUAUAUGUUCGUGGGUAUGAUUAUAAUAUGCUUCCAAAUUUAUCAAAAACAAAAAAUAAUAUGAAUAAAUUAAAAAAAAUUAUAAAAAUAUAUACA
Molecule: long non-coding RNA, 1186 nt
Filed under: Piliocolobus tephrosceles (Ugandan red Colobus)
Lineage: Eukaryota; Metazoa; Chordata; Mammalia; Primates; Cercopithecidae
Description: lncRNA (ENSPTEG00000002412.1)
Source: RNAcentral